This 908-nucleotide ribosomal RNA is filed under the name Dujonia oleophila. Its description in RNAcentral is "LSU rRNA". It matches the Rfam family "Eukaryotic large subunit ribosomal RNA", at positions 38 to 964 of the family's 3401-position model. Lineage: Eukaryota; Fungi; Ascomycota; Pichiomycetes; Serinales; Debaryomycetaceae. The record is from RNAcentral.
GCAUAUCAAUAAGCGGAGGAAAAGAAACCAACAGGGAUUGCCUUAGUAACGGCGAGUGAAGCGGCAAAAGCUCAAAUUUGAAAUCUAGCACUUUCAGUGUUCGAGUUGUAAUUUGAAGAAGGUAACUUUGGAAUUGGCUCUUGUCUAUGUUCCUUGGAACAGGACGUCACAGAGGGUGAGAAUCCCGUGCGAUGAGAUGUCCAAUUCUAUGUAAAGUGCUUUCGAAGAGUCGAGUUGUUUGGGAAUGCAGCUCUAAGUGGGUGGUAAAUUCCAUCUAAAGCUAAAUAUUGGCGAGAGACCGAUAGCGAACAAGUACAGUGAUGGAAAGAUGAAAAGAACUUUGAAAAGAGAGUGAAAAAGUACGUGAAAUUGUUGAAAGGGAAGGGCUUGAGAUCAGACUUGGUAUUUUGUGUUCCUUAUUCUUUUUGGAUUUGGUUCCUCACAGCUUACCGGGCCAGCAUCGGUUUGGAUGGUAGGAUAAUGACAUUGGAAUGUAGCUUUGCUUCGGUGAAGUGUUAUAGACUUUGUUGAUACUGCCUAUCUAGACCGAGGACUGCGUCUUUGACUAGGAUGCUGGCGUAAUGAUCUUAAGCCGCCCGUCUUGAAACACGGACCAAGGAGUCUAACGUCUAUGCGAGUGUUUGGGUGUAAAACCCGUACGCGUAAUGAAAGUGAACGUAGGUGAGAGCCUUUUAGGUGCAUCAUCGACCGAUCCUGAUGUCUUCGGAUGGAUUUGAGUAAGAGCAUAGCUGUUGGGACCCGAAAGAUGGUGAACUAUGCCUGAAUAGGGUGAAGCCAGAGGAAACUCUGGUGGAGGCUCGUAGCGGUUCUGACGUGCAAAUCGAUCGUCGAAUUUGGGUAUAGGGGCGAAAGACUAAUCGAACCAUCUAGUAGCUGGUUCCUGCCGA